RNAcentral lists this long non-coding RNA (233 nucleotides) under Canis lupus familiaris (dog). RNAcentral's name for it is "lncRNA (ENSCAFG00845028651.1)". The record is from RNAcentral. Lineage: Eukaryota; Metazoa; Chordata; Mammalia; Carnivora; Canidae.
GGUUAGACAUGUAAUGAUGAAUUAAGCAUUUCAUAAUUCCACAGGUGGUGUUGUUGACAGAAACAUUGUAAGCAGAGAAGGUGAAUCAAUCCAUGGAGUAUCCCUAUCACACUGGAUGAAGUUUACAGACUUCUUCAAGGUCACUGGGCGCUGGAUGCCACUACCAGAUGCUUUCGUGUUGGGGCCACUCAGCCCUCUCCCAGAAGCUUACCAGGGACAGAUCGUGAACGUAA